CUAAUUUCUUUCUACCUGUGUCCUGUGUCAGGGUUGAACCAUUUUCUACCCAUCAACAAGUGCAUUGCCGUUUUUCGCCAUUUUGUUCGUCUUCCGCGAUCGCUCGUUGUUUGUUGGCGAUCUGUUUCCGGUUUUGUUGCUGCUGCAUUCCUCUUUUCUUCGUUGUUUCUAUAGCCUGAUCCUGCCCUGCUGGAUUUCGCUUUUGUUGCGAAUUGUUCUGCUGCUGUUUAAUUUCUGAAUCUGCCUGCGUACCUGCGAUCCUUGCCACCUUCCUUUUCCCUUGUAUUCACUUCUGCUUUCGA
Long non-coding RNA from Megachile rotundata (alfalfa leafcutting bee), 302 nucleotides. Lineage: Eukaryota; Metazoa; Arthropoda; Insecta; Hymenoptera; Megachilidae. The record is from RefSeq and is a predicted model, not a curated record.